AGUCAGAGGACAUUUAUGAGGAAUCGAGGAUUUUGAAGGAGUUGAUAGGAUUCAAACGCUUGUCGCCUGAAGCAGUAAUUAAGUUCAGAAAUAGAGAUGAGGUACUACGUUUGGGUGAUGGGUUUGAGUGAGGCAGGGAGAUGACCUUUCUGGCGUUUGAUGUCUACAAUGUUCGAGUUAUAGCAACUGCAAAUGACUUGUAUUGCUGGAUGAUCUUUUGUGUUUUCGUGUUUUUUCUUUGUAGGUUAGUUUCGUCUUGGUUGCUUUGUAAAUGUAUGGAUGUUUGGUUCCUCCUGUUUUGGAAACUCUCGGAACCUUUUAAAACUAUGGCUGUUGUGUAGACCAUCCUAUCUAUUCGGUCUCCAUUGUUUUCCAAGGGGACUAAUGAAACUAUGACUGAGAUUCAA
Molecule: long non-coding RNA, 407 nt
Organism: Rhododendron vialii
Lineage: Eukaryota; Viridiplantae; Streptophyta; Magnoliopsida; Ericales; Ericaceae
Exons: 2
Source: RefSeq, a predicted model, not a curated record